This 252-nucleotide ribosomal RNA is filed under the name uncultured bacterium. RNAcentral's name for it is "partial 16S ribosomal RNA". It matches the Rfam family "Bacterial small subunit ribosomal RNA", at positions 524 to 776 of the family's 1533-position model. The record is from RNAcentral.
UACGUAGGUCCCGAGCGUUGUCCGGAUUUAUUGGGCGUAAACCGAGCGCAGGUGGUUUAUUAAGUCUGGUGUAAAAGGCAGAGGCUCAACCAUUGUAUGCAUUGGAAACUGGUAGACUUGAGUGCAGGAGAGGAGAGUGGAAUUCCAUGUGUAGCGGUGAAAUGCGUAGAUAUAUGGAGGAACACCGGUGGCGAAAGCGGCUCUCUGGCCUGUAACUGACACUGAGGCUCGAAAGCGUGGGGAGCAAACAGG